This 492-nucleotide ribosomal RNA is filed under the name uncultured bacterium. RNAcentral describes it as "partial 16S ribosomal RNA". It matches the Rfam family "Bacterial small subunit ribosomal RNA", at positions 29 to 507 of the family's 1533-position model. The record is from RNAcentral.
AGUGAACGCUGGCGGUAGGCCUAACACAUGCAAGUCGAACGGCAGCACAGUAAGAGCUUGCUCUUACGGGUGGCGAGUGGCGGACGGGUGAGGAAUACAUCGGAAUCUACUUUUUCGUGGGGGAUAACGUAGGGAAACUUACGCUAAUACCGCAUACGACCUACGGGUGAAAGCAGGGGAUCUUCGGACCUUGCGCGAUUGAAUGAGCCGAUGUCGGAUUAGCUAGUUGGCGGGGUAAAGGCCCACCAAGGCGACGAUCCGUAGCUGGUCUGAGAGGAUGAUCAGCCACACUGGAACUGAGACACGGUCCAGACUCCUACGGGAGGCAGCAGUGGGGAAUAUUGGACAAAGGGCGCAAGCCUGAUCCAGCCAUACCGCGUGGGCGAAGAAGGCCCUCGGGUUGUAAAGCCCUUUUGUUGGGAAAGAAAAGCAGCAGGUUAAUACCCCGCUGUUCUGACGGUACCCAAAGAAUAAGCACCGGCUAACUUCGUG